Small nuclear RNA from Mesocricetus auratus (golden hamster), 163 nucleotides. Its record names the gene U1. It matches the Rfam family "U1 spliceosomal RNA". From Rfam's summary of the family: U1 is a small nuclear RNA (snRNA) component of the spliceosome (involved in pre-mRNA splicing). Its 5' end forms complementary base pairs with the 5' splice junction, thus defining the 5' donor site of an intron. There are significant differences in sequence and secondary structure between metazoan and yeast U1 snRNAs, the latter being much longer (568 nucleotides as compared to 164 nucleotides in human). NCBI's taxonomy places the organism in Eukaryota, Metazoa, Chordata, Mammalia, Rodentia, Cricetidae. The record is from Ensembl.
AUAAUACCUGGCAGGGGAGCUAUGACUAUGAAAGUGGUGGUUUUUCUACAAGGAAAGCUGAUCCAUUACACUCCAGAUAUGCUGAUGCCUUGUGAUUUCCCCAAACGUGGGAAACUCAAUUACAUCAUUUGUCGAAGUGGGGGACUGUUUCUGCUUUCCCCUA